GGCGCACGGGUGAGUAACGCGUAUGCAACCUACCUUUUACUGGGGGAUAGCCCAAAGAAAUUUGGAUUAAUACCGCAUAACAUAUUUGAAUCGCAUGGUUUAAAUAUUAAAGCUUCGGUGGUAAAAGAUGGGCAUGCGUAGCAUUAGUUAGUUGGUAAGGUAACGGCUUACCAAGACUAUGAUGCUUAGGGGGUCUGAGAGGAUAGUCCCCCACACUGGUACUGAGACACGGACCAGACUCCUACGGGAGGCAGCAGUGAGGAAUAUUGGUCAAUGGGCGCAAGCCUGAACCAGCCAUGUCGCGUGCAGGAUGACGGCCCUAUGGGUUGUAAACUGCUUUUUUACAAGAAUAAACUUUGCUACGUGUAGCAAACUGAAGGUACUGUAAGAAUAAGGAUCGGCUAACUCCGUGCCAGCAGCCGCGGUAAUACGGAGGAUCCAAGCGUUAUCCGGAUUUAUUGGGUUUAAAGGGUCCGUAGGCGGGCUUUUAAGUCAGUGGUGAAAUCCCGGAGCUCAACUCCGGAACUGCCAUUGAUACUGAAAGUCUUGAAUUUAGUUGAGGUAGGCGGAAUACGUUAUGUAGCGGUGAAAUGCAUAGAUAUAACGUAGAACACCGAUUGCGAAGGCAGCUUACUAAGCUACAUUGACGCUGAUGGACGAAAGCGUGGGGAGCGAACAGGAUUAAAUACCCUGGUAGUCCCGCCGUAACGAUGAUUACUCGUUGUGCGCGAUGCCAGUGCGUGACUGAGCGAAAAGCAUUAAGUAAUCCACCUGGGGAGUACGUUC
Molecule: ribosomal RNA, 786 nt
Filed under: uncultured bacterium
Lineage: Bacteria
Description: bacterial SSU rRNA
Rfam family: Bacterial small subunit ribosomal RNA
Source: RNAcentral